GAAUUUGACGGUAAUUUAAUCUGUUCAGAGGAACCUGUGUAGUAAUCGAUGGUCCACGAUAAAUUUUACCUUAAAAUUAUGGGUUUGUAUAUCUCUGUCUUAAGAAUGUUUUAUUAGAAUGAUUUUCUUUACUUAAUAUUUAAUUUAAGUCAGGUCAAGGUGCAGCUUUUUAAGGGUUAUUAUGGGUUACAUUAAUUUAUGAAUUUUGGGUUGAAGGUUUUAUUACCUUUAUUAAAUUGGAUUUGAUUGUAAUAUAUUUUAUAUAUUUUUUAUGAUAUUUGCUCUAGAUUAAGUACACAUCGCCCGUCGCUCUUAUUUAUUUAUAAAGAUAAGAUAAGUCGUAACAAAGUAGGCUUAUCGGAAGAUGAGCCUGGAAUGAAUUCGAGUCAUAGCCGGAGGGCUAUUUGUUAUUUACAUUAAUGAAUUAUUUGUGCGAUUCAAAUUGACUUUGAUGUAUUAAGUUAAUUAAUGUUUAUUAUUAUUGUUAAUUUAUUUUUUAUAGAAAUAAUUUUUGUAUUAGUAUUGUUUAUGGAAUAUAAGUAUUAUAAUUUAUAGUUUAUCAGUACUGUGAAGGAAUUUUUAUUAAUGCUUUUAAGUAGAUAUUAAUAUUGUACCUUUUGUAUCAGGGUUUAUCUAAAGUAAUUAAUUAUUGAUUAAUAUUCCCGAAAUUAUAAGAGAUAUUUAAAAAUGAAUUUUAUUGUUGUAAAAAUAUUAGUAAUUAUUAAAUAGGAGUUAUAUGCUAUUCAGUUAUAUAUAUCUGGUUUCUUAAGAAUUUAAUUGAAUUUAUCCCUAAUUAUUAAAUAGUUGCAUAUAUUAUAAAUUUUAUUUUUAGGGGAAAAUGUAAGGGGAUAAGCUUUUGCGUUAUUAUUAUAAAGAUUUUAAUAUUUAUAUAUUAAGUAGGAUUGAUAAUUUCUUUCAUGUAUUUUGUUAUAAUUAAAUUUAUAUAUUAAUAAUUAUUUAGUUGUUUUUAAAUUAUAUAUUAAGAAUUUAUAUGUAUUUAUAUUUUAAAGGUUAAAAUGAUGGAAUUAGUAAAAUAUAAUUUAUAUUAACAGUAACUCGGCAAAUAUAGAGCCCACCUGUUUAACAAAAACAUGUCCUGUUGAUUAUAUUUUAAUAGGUCAGGCCUGCUCGGUGAUAAUUUUAACAGCUGCAGUAUAUUGACUGUGCAAAGGUAGCAUAAUCAUUUGUCUUUUAAUUGUGGACUGGAAUGAACGGCUUAAUGAGGUUCUUGCUUUCUUUUAAUAUAAUUUUUGAAUUUUGUGUUUGUGUAAAAAAACAUAAAUAUUGUUAUAGGACGAGAAGACCCUAUAGAAUUUUAUUAUUUACUUAAUGUAAUGAAUUUAUUUAUUAUUUUUAAUUAAUUAAAUGAUUUUGUUGGGGUGACAGAGAGAUUUUUAACACUCUCUUUUUUUAUUAUUUAUUGAUGUAUAUAUUUAUGAUCCUAUUUAUAGAUUAUAAGAUUAAAUUACCU
RNAcentral lists this ribosomal RNA (1471 nucleotides) under Urochela quadrinotata (four-spotted shield-bug). RNAcentral describes it as "partial 16S rRNA". Lineage: Eukaryota; Metazoa; Arthropoda; Insecta; Hemiptera; Urostylididae. The record is from RNAcentral.